GAUGAACGCUGGCGGCGUGCCUAAUACAUGCAAGUAGAACGCUGAAGGCGGAGCUUGCUCUGCUGGAUGAGUUGCGAACGGGUGAGUAACGCGUAGGUAACCUGCCUGGUAGCGGGGGAUAACUAUUGGAAACGAUAGCUAAUACCGCAUGACAACAGUUAUUGCAUGAUAACUGUUGAAAAGGGGCAACUGCUCCACUACCAGAUGGACCUGCGUUGUAUUAGCUAGUUGGUGAGGUAACGGCUCACCAAGGCGACGUUACAUAGCCGACCUGCGAGGGUGAGCAGCCACACUGAGACUGAGACACGGCCCAGACGCCCACGGGAGGCAGCAGUAGUGCAUCGGGAGGAAGGGGCGGAAGACUGAGCGAGAAACGCCGCGGGAGUGUAGAAGGAUGUCGGAUCGGAAAGCUCGGUUGUAAGAGAAGAACGAGUGUGAGGGUGGAAAGUUCACACUGUGACGGUAUCUUAACAGAAAGGGACGGCUAACUACGUG
Molecule: ribosomal RNA, 495 nt
Filed under: uncultured bacterium
Lineage: Bacteria
Description: partial 16S ribosomal RNA
Rfam family: Bacterial small subunit ribosomal RNA
Source: RNAcentral